Molecule: ribosomal RNA, 395 nt
Filed under: uncultured bacterium
Lineage: Bacteria
Description: partial 16S ribosomal RNA
Rfam family: Bacterial small subunit ribosomal RNA
Source: RNAcentral
AUACGUAGGGGGCGAGCGUUGUCCGGAAUGAUUGGGCGUAAAGGGCGCGUAGGCGGCCCGGUAAGUCUGGAGUGAAAGUCCUGUUUUUAAGAUGGGAAUUGCUUUGGAUACUGUCGGGCUUGAGUGCAGGAGAGGUAAGUGGAAUUCCCAGUGUAGCGGUGAAAUGCGUAGAGAUUGGGAGGAACACCAGUGGCGGAGGCGACUUACUGGACUGUAACUGACGCUGAGGCGCGAAAGUGUGGGGAGCAAACAGGAUUAGAUACCCUGGUAGUCCACACUGUAAACGAUGAUGACUAACUGCCGGCCCGUUGCGGGUCGGUGGCCAAGCGAAAGCGAUAAGUCAUCCACCUGGGGAGUACGACCGCAAGGUUGAAACUCAAAUGAAUUGGCGGGGG